GCUUGUUAGUCCCCCAGCUAAAUGGCCCCCAACGUCUGUGUUUUCGGGUUACUCUGGCUUCUUUCCCUCCAAUUCCUACAGACACCCACCUCCAGCCACACUCAUGCGAAACAGCAGCCCUCUUCCAAAAUCCCAGUACAAAUAAUAACGAUGAACAGUGCAUAAGAACUGAUAUUAUUGAGAGCUUUGCCAUAGACAAAUGCCAAGUGUCUUUUAUAUGAAUCAUCUUAUCUGGACUCAGCCCCUUGAGCUGGGUUUUGUUUAGUCCCAUUUUACAGGUGAAAACACUGAGACCACGAGGAGGUGAGGAACUUGCCCGAGGAAGCGGUGGAGCCGGACGGGAACCUGGUGCCACCUCUGAAGGCCGAGCUCUUAUCCAGGAGCCCAACCACCUCCCUGGAGGACCCGAGCAGCCGGGCAGGGAGCCCGUGGCACAUACAGAGGGAGGUCCAUUCUGCGCGUGCCCAGAACCCAGGUGCUGGGCUCUGGGACCAGGAAGGCUUCCUCCUUGCUGCCCGGAGUGACGGUGCCUCCAGCACUUGGUCAGGGCCCUGGCUCCCGGCUCUCUAUGGGACGCUGCUCUCUGCAGCCAGGGCUUCCUGUGCUGGGCACUGCAUGACCAGGCAACCCGCAGCUUCUGACUUUAGAAAAGGAUGCUUCUGGAAGCCACAGAACCAUGUGUGCCCAGCCUUGUGGGUCUCAGCUAGAUGCUUCAUUGACUCUAUCCGUGAAUCCGGGAUUGACUCAUCUCUAAUCUGUGAAAUGGGUACAAUAUGGACCCAAUCAGAGUCACUGGGCACAGAAGUUCAGCUCGGGGUGGCAAAGCUCUAGAUGUUUGCAAUCCAUCCCCGCCCUCCUCCACUCCCCUGCCCAGGACCUAGCUCCAUUCUGGGACCGCAGAUGGAGGGCCCGCAGCCGGGCAAGGAGACAACGGAGCUAGGUGAGGACCACGACGCACAAGGCGCCUCUCCAGUCACGGAGCCCUCCCAAGUCUGCUGGAAAGCUAAGACUUUUACAUGAAACAACAGGACCCUGGGAUCUAUUAUGUCCAUUGAUUAGACAAUCUGCCUGAGGCUCCUAGAAGGCUGAUGCUUCUGGGAAAUGGGUGAAUCCAAUAAUGGCUGCAGAGAAACAGAAUUCAAGAGACAGAACUUGGGACCGGAAAUGCAUCUCGAUGUCUGUUGGGAAAGCCGGGACACAGCAGGCGGGAGCAGCAUUGCCUGAUGACGCCUUCCUGCCCACCGCACCCUCCUGUAGGGCGUUUGUCCACACCGGCCCUGCUCACCUGCCAGCCACGGAUGCCUUCACGUGCGGGGCACACCGGCCCCCAUGCAAAUCUAGCCAGGCUGAUCCCUGCCCCGGCAGCUGAAAGUCUCCUAAUAAACAAGUGUUGGUUUGCCGAACAGGAGAGACCCUUGACAUCAGGGGUAGAACUUUCUGGGAGGAAAACACUUCAUUUCCAGGGCAAGUGUUGCUCAGCUGCUCUGAGACUCAAACAUGUUCUCAGCCUCACUGUCAGCAGGGCUGCAGGACACCAGCCACAGGAGGAGGAGGCAGCAUGGGUGUGUCCAGCUUCUGGGGCGGUGUGGGGUUGGGGGGCAGCUCAAAGAGCACUGGACCAGGAGUCCUGAGACCCAAAUGAGAGAGCACUAACAACAACAAUAAUAAUAACGAUAACCAGAUGCUUGUUUGUUUAUUGAGGGCUUACUAUGUACCGGGCAUGGUCGGAACAUCUGGUGCACCCAGCCCUUUGAAGAAAUUUUCUACCGUUCCCAAUUUGCAAAAGGGGAAAUAAGGCUCAGGAGGUUGGAGAUGAUAGGAAGGCUUCCCUGCAGAAGUGGUACUCUGCCUGGAGUCUGAAGGAUGAAUUAGAUGUUAAGUAAGUGAGGAGGGGGAGGGAAAAACAUUGUAGCCAGCAGGGACAGCAUGUGCAAAGGGCCUGUGGUGGGCAUAAAUCUGGUGAGGCUGAACCCCGAGAGGAACAAGUUCCAUGUGUCUGGAGGGAGGGGUACUGUGGGUUACAGGGAGCUGACAGGGGCUCGUCCCUGUGGCUCCUGUGGGGUUUGGGCCUUCAUUCUAAGACCUCAGAAGCCAUGAAAUCUUUAAAGAAAGAUGUGACAGGCUCAGAUCUGGGUUUUUGAAAGCUCCCUCUGGUGACCCCAGAGUUGGGUGGACAGUGGCCUCAGGACGGGAAUGCAUACAGCUGAGACUUCAUGUCAACCAAUCUUGCCCAGGGCAGCCCCAGGGGGAGGCUGGGACCUGCAUAGCCUGUUAGGAGGCAGGGAGCCAGGAGCCUCCCUUACCCCCAAGCUGGUGGGCUCAUUUACAUGAUCCCAGCUUAAUUCUCCCAGGGUAUGCAAAUGUAUGCAAACCACGAUCCAGGAGAGGCAAAAAUAGCAGGGCGCAUUAGCAUCCCCCACAGGAAUAUUGUUUUAUGCAAAAGACGAGCUUGGGGCCUGCUGAGUGGGCGGCAAUGGAAGAUGCCAGGGAGUCCAACCUCCCGGCCUGUGCCCUCCAGGGUCCGGGCCAGGUCCCAGCUGCCAGGGAGGUUCCAGGGUCCAGGGACAGGUGGUGGACGGAGGGCCCUGGCUGCCCAGUGUCCAGGGCCCAGGUAGGGUCUCCAGGCUGGGAGGACCCCUGACCUCAGGGCCGCACUUGCCCUGGCCUGGCCUCCACCUUCUGACGGUCUGGGGUCUUGUCUUCCUCCCUCCCAUCUUCCCCGUCUGGUUUCUCCCCUGUCUGCUCUCUCAGCAAUCUCAGCUUCCUCUUUGCUUCUCUCUGAUCUUUUUUUUUUUCUCUUCUCAGCUUCCUCCAGCCCUUCCUUUUCGGUGGCUUCUCUCCGCCCAACCUCCUGGUGCCUCUCCCCUGAGAAUUCGCUCUGAGGUCCUUCUCUUGGUAUUUGUCUCUCUCUGGGUCUCCAACUCCAACACGACUCUCUCUGUCUCUGUGACUCCCUGUCCGUUUUUCCUUAUCUGUCUCUGAGAUUUCCUGUCUCCCCUUGUCUCUGUCUCUCCAUCUCUCUCUGCUUCUGUCUGUCUGUCUGUCUUGAUAUGCAUCUUUCCCUGCCUGCUGUCUUUCUGGCUCUGCUGGUCCCUCUCUGUUUUGUUUGAAUUUGUUUCUCUGUGUCUUUCUGGCUCCCUUGUUCUCUUUCUGUUGCUGCCUCUAUGCUGUCUCUGCUCUUUUUACUUCAUAACCUUUCCGUGGCUUUUUCUCUGUAGUUCUCACCCCAGCAUCCUCUUCCUUCAGGGCAUCCUGGAGAGCAUUCAGGGACGGGCAGCAGCAUCCCUGAGCUCAUGUCUGGUCCAGGACCCAUGUGGAGAGGUGCAGGGACCCCUCCACACACCUCCAAGUUCCAGUGGGCACCAGACCCCCGACUGCAACCCAGUCCAGCCAGCUGUGGAGGCCAGUCUGGACAGCUCUGGGUUUUGGGAAGAGGCUGGGUCUUUCCAGAUCCCUGGAAGCCUAGGUCUGGCUUAAGUCAGGUCAUACUGGCUGGGAGUUGCCUGAGACUGGGGUACUGGGGAGAGAGGGCAGGAAUCAGCCAGAUCCUCUCUGGACAAGAGCAAGUUCUGGCAACAGACACUUCUCAGCUGUGCAACCUCUGUAAAUGGCUUCCUCUUCCUGAUCCUCAGUUUCCAUCUCUUUAAAAUGGGUUGAUCCUGGUGUCCAAGCCUCAGCCUUGUUGUGGGACUGGCCAGCUGCAUUGGCAUCAUUUGCGAUGUGUAGCGACACUCAGUAAAUACUCUCUACAACAGUUAUUGUUAUCAUCCUCGCUCCUGUGGUUCCACUUAAGCUCUCUGUGCCUCAGCCUCCUCAUCUGAAAAAUGGGGAGAGUAGUUCUCACAUCAUUGGGCAGU
Long non-coding RNA from Orcinus orca (killer whale), 3857 nucleotides. RefSeq lists it as uncharacterized. The transcript is spliced from 5 exons. The record is from RefSeq and is a predicted model, not a curated record. NCBI's taxonomy places the organism in Eukaryota, Metazoa, Chordata, Mammalia, Artiodactyla, Delphinidae.